CCCCUACUUCGCUUCCAUCUCCACAUCCCUCCUCCUCCCUUAAUUUUUAAAAGAUAAAAAGAAAAAAUCCCCCCCACCCCCACCAACACCACACACACACAUCCACCCGUCCCCACCCAAUCCCACACAUCUAAUCAAAUCUAUAACAAAAAUAAUUAUUAUGUAAUUGUAAAAAUAAUUUUAUGUUCCAUCUCCCUUCUUUCACCUUCCACCCUACCCCCACUCCACCUCCACAUACACAUGCACAUAUACACAUACACAUACACUCCAGUCAGUCCACCCACACAAUCUUUCACCUCUAAUCAAAUCUAUACGAAAAAAUAAUUGUGCAUUGUAAUAAAUAUGUUUUAUAUUUUUUUAUUAUAUUAUUCACAAUAUAAAGAUAUUAGAUUGUUAAUAUUUCCUCCCCCUCCCUAAUUACAUCAUUUUUUAAAAAUAAACCUCCUCCACCUCACCCACCCAUCCUCAUAUAAUCCCCCAUCUCUAACCGAAUCUAUAUGAAAAAAUAACUAUGUAAUUAGGCACCCAUGAUAAAUAAAUUAGUUGGUAAUCCAACAGACUCCGACGCCGGCGACGUCGUAGAUGCGCCGGCACAGGUAAGGGCCCACUCUCACUCCCCCGUUCUCUCUCUCCAGUCCUCUCUCUCCCCAGUUCUCUCUCUUCUCUGCUCUUUUUUUCUCUCGUCAUUGCUAUGGUCGGUGGAAUUAGGAUUUUCGCUGGCUCGACUCCGGCGAUAGCAUAGUGUGCAACAUCGGUCAAACUCGGUUAAAACAGUUGGUGUGACGUCAAACGGCAACCAGUUGCUGGCAGAACUAAGAAGAUGCUCUGGCGAUGUACCAGCAGCUUCUUUUAAACGACUCUAUUUCGGUAACCAAUUUCGACAUCAAAAUUGCCGUAAUCAGCACACGCAAGAGUCAAGGAUAAUAUUAAAAAAUAAUUCUAAUCAUUUUAUAUUGAAAUAUCUCAUUUGAGUAUGUUAAAUCAUAUUAUCCUUAAAAAAACUUAUUAACUAUCAUACUAUUUCUUAAUGAAAUGCAAAAAAGAAAAAAGAAAAAAAGAAAAAUCUACCCCUACUUCGCUUCCAUCUCCACAUCCCUCCUCCUCCCUUAAUUUUUAAAAGAUAAAAAGAAAAAAUCCCCCCCACCCCCACCAACACCACACACACACAUCCACCCGUCCCCACCCAAUCCCACACAUCUAAUCAAAUCUAUAACAAAAAUAAUUAUUAUGUAAUUGUAAAAAUAAUUUUAUGUUCCAUCUCCCUUCUUUCACCUUCCACCCUACCCCCACUCCACCUCCACAUACACAUGCACAUAUACACAUACACAUACACUCCAGUCAGUCCACCCACACAAUCUUUCACCUCUAAUCAAAUCUAUACGAAAAAAUAAUUGUGCAUUGUAAUAAAUAUGUUUUAUAUUUUUUUAUUAUAUUAUUCACAAUAUAAAGAUAUUAGAUUGUUAAUAUUUCCUCCCCCUCCCUAAUUACAUCAUUUUUUAAAAAUAAACCUCCUCCACCUCACCCACCCAUCCUCAUAUAAUCCCCCAUCUCUAACCGAAUCUAUAUGAAAAAAUAACUAUGUAAUUAGGCACCCAUGAUAAAUAAAUUAGUUGGUAAUCCAACAGACUCCGACGCCGGCGACGUCGUAGAUGCGCCGGCACAG
RNAcentral lists this long non-coding RNA (1663 nucleotides) under Capsicum annuum. RNAcentral's name for it is "long non-coding RNA (CANN_LNC001989)". Lineage: Eukaryota; Viridiplantae; Streptophyta; Magnoliopsida; Solanales; Solanaceae. The record is from RNAcentral.